CACAGUCCUGCGCAAUUAGACAAAUGUAUAUGUCCAGUGGCUUUUAUUGCUUUGCUAAUUGCCAGAUAGACUUGUAGUAGGUGGACCGCUAUUUCGUCUUUUGUUGGUUAGCUAGUUUGACUAAAUACCAAUUUUCUGCAAUACUCAAAAUAUCUAUACAUGCUUUAGGUAUUAAAUAUUCUCGUUGUUCGUCGAACUUAUUCAACAUAGGUAUGGACCUUUAAUGGUUUACUUCUAUAAAUUGUGACUUGGAUGGAGAUUUGUCUCAUUGGCACUCAUACCACAUCUUUCUAUAUCUAUAUAUGGAGAUAGCUUGUGUCGUUGAUGGAUUAUCCGAUAAAAAUAUUUAGGUCGUUUGAAAGCGGGUGCAUUUUUGCGUUACAUAUACGAAUUCCCAUUUAAUUGUGUGUAUAUUCUCCUAUAAGGGUUUGGAUGAUAGGUCGUCAAUUAUUAAGAAUGUGAUUUUGGUAGCAACACAACGACCGGGAGGAGCUUAUUUGGCUUUGAAAAGGUCGGGAGUGAAAAUUUGAUGGUAGGUUUGUUUUUACCGAUGGAUUAACUAUCGCUAAGGUGAAGAAUCGCAUUAAAAUAAUGCGAAGAUUUUAAGAUCUUCCCAGCUAUAUUAUAGUGCACAUUGGGAAAUGAUAUAUAUAAAAUAUCAAACUAGGUUACUUUCAUCAUUAGCUUGUUCAAUUUAUGUCAAGGUUAUAUAUUGAUUUGCCUGAUACAACUUUAUUUGGUCUCAAGUUCUAUUGCCAAGACUGCAAUGACGGUCGUCAAAUAAUGGGAAUUGUAAUGUAUGGACAAAUGCAGGCGUCGGUUAAACAGCUUCAUUGUUGUCCACAUGACAAAGCAUGGAUGUUACAUUCGAUAUCCUUACAUAAAAGCUAAACACGAGUCUCUAGCAGAAGAUGGGGUGUAUUUAACAAAGAGAAGAACAUUUUUUUCUGAACUUAAUACAGGGAGCCCUAGAAACAAUAAUUUCUAGUAAGACGGGUAGCAUUACUUUUCCAGACGACUAUUCCAUGCUUUGAAUUUUUAUAGUUGACUCGUUGUCAGUAACAAAUGCCUAUAUAUGAUCUUAGUGAACAGUUAAACGAAACAUCGGAGUUAUUGGGCUGUUUUAUAAAUAAUACAAAUAGUUGCUUGUUAAUUUACAAUUUAUACCAUAUAAUGGCAUAUAUUCAUUUAUCAGAAAAUUAUUUUAAUCAAAUUUUGCUUGAAAUGGCACAGCUAUGCGCAGCUCUCCCCAAUUUUAUUGGCGGUUGACGGUUCUGUGAAAAUUUUAACUGUAGGCUAAAAUUGUCGCAGCACCGCCAAUUUGGCAGAUUUCGCUGCGCUUAGAUAACAUAUUUGCAGUUUACAGACUUAUUGUAAUCGUAUGAUAGCAUUAGCCUCUGAUUUCCAGGGCUAAUAGCUUAUCUUGAACUUCCCCUUUUCAUAUAUGGUCUGCCACCUCAAACAUAUUCGGCGAUCAUCAUCAUAUAACAUUUUCAAAGACACAUAUGCAUUUUUAUCAGUUAAUUUUAGUUCAUAGAUCUACAUGUAUCACAAAUUGCAUUUCAUAUAAUAGUACAUAUAUCAUAUCACAAAUUGCAUUUCAUAUAAUAGUACAUAUAUCAUAUCACAAAAUGCAUUUCAUAUAAUAGUACAUAUAUCAUAUCUGUUAAUAAAUGCUGUGGCCAUUUCCUG
This 1692-nucleotide long non-coding RNA is filed under the name Mytilus galloprovincialis (Mediterranean mussel). Lineage: Eukaryota; Metazoa; Mollusca; Bivalvia; Mytilida; Mytilidae. The record is from RNAcentral.